This 477-nucleotide ribosomal RNA is filed under the name uncultured bacterium. RNAcentral's name for it is "bacterial SSU rRNA". It matches the Rfam family "Bacterial small subunit ribosomal RNA", at positions 26 to 518 of the family's 1533-position model. The record is from RNAcentral.
AGGACGAACGCUGGCGGCGUGCCUAACACAUGCAAGUCGAACGGAGCUGAGGAGCUUGCUCCUUAGCUUAGUGGCGGACGGGUGAGUAACGCGUGAGUAACCUGCCUCUGAGAGGGGAAUAACGUUCUGAAAAGAACGCUAAUACCGCAUAACGUAUUGAAGCCGCAUGACUUUGAUACCAAAGAUUUUAUCGCUCGGAGAUGGACUCGCGUCCGAUUAGCUUGUUGGUGAGGUAACGGCUCACCAAGGCGACGAUCGGUAGCCGGACUGAGAGGUUGAUCGGCCACAUUGGGACUGAGACACGGCCCAGACUCCUACGGGAGGCAGCAGUGGGGGAUAUUGCGCAAUGGGGGCAACCCUGACGCCAGCAACGCCGCGUGAAGGAUGAAGGUUUUCGGAUUGUAAACCUCUGUUCUCAGGGACGAUAAUGACUGUACCUGAGGAGAAAGCUCCGGCUAACUACGUGCCAGCCGCCGC